RNAcentral lists this transfer RNA (78 nucleotides) under Candidatus Bathyarchaeota archaeon. RNAcentral's name for it is "tRNA-Thr". It matches the Rfam family "tRNA". From Rfam's summary of the family: Transfer RNA (tRNA) molecules are approximately 80 nucleotides in length. The record is from RNAcentral. Lineage: Archaea; Thermoproteati; Candidatus Bathyarchaeota. RNAcentral also lists the same sequence under 1 other name.
GCCUCGGUAGCUCAGUCUGGUUAGAGCGGCGCCUUGGUAAGGCGUAGGUCGCGGGUUCAAAUCCCGCCCGAGGCUCCA